UGGGAACCUUCCCUAUGGUUCGGAAUAGCUCAGGGAAACUUGGGUAAUACCGGAUAAGCCCUUCGGGGAAAAUUUAUCGCCAUUGGAUGGGCCCGCGUCGGAUUAGCUAGUUGGUGAGGUAACGGCUCACCAAGGCAACGAUCCGUAGCUGGUCUGAGAGGAUGAUCAGCCACACUGGGACUGAGACACGGCCCAGACUCCUACGGGAGGCAG
RNAcentral lists this ribosomal RNA (213 nucleotides) under uncultured bacterium. RNAcentral's name for it is "partial 16S ribosomal RNA". It matches the Rfam family "Bacterial small subunit ribosomal RNA", at positions 118 to 351 of the family's 1533-position model. The record is from RNAcentral.